GAAACUCUACAACUUACAAUUUCUCUUGAACAGGUAUUUCACCUCUCAGAGUAUUCUUUGAAUCUAUUAACACAAGAAGCGGCAGCUUCAAACAACAGAAUAGAAAAUUAGGUGUUGAAUUUAUAUAUAAAAGAGCUUUGUUUUUCUAACUCCUAAACAAAAAAGGACAUAUUCUGAUAGUGUUAUUAGUGGUAAAGAAAUAGAGUUAGAUUCUUCUCCGAAUUGUCUGUCCAUUAGUUUCUUCAUACUACAGUUUGGAAGAAUUUGGAGGAGCCUUCUAAUGACUGCUAGAGUUCUUUCCUUUUUAGUCAGGUCAUUCUUUGUUUUGAAUGAAAAUUUUCUUAUUUUUUUCCAUGUUAUAUCUCAAAACUCACAAGUACUAUCUUCUGACAUGUUAAGUCGUGCUGAUUAUAUUUUCCCUGUCUGAAGUAGACCUCUUGAACAUGUCAACCUAGGCAUCUGCUGUGAUUUUCACUAGCUUUGAUUGAGUACAUAUUGCAGUCUGUUUGUUUUGAAGUAGGUGUAUUGUGAUUAAAAUAGGGAAUACCAUGUAUUUUAACAAAAAAUUGUUUAUCUAAACAAGUAUAUAUGCAGCAUUACAAAUAUAUCCAGAAAGAUAUUAUAGCAUUCGCCCGGGAGACCAAGAUGCAAAGUGUCAAGAAGCAGUGUAAUAUAAAAAGCACAUCAUUUGUCUGAGCUAGCACUUACUGAGAAGAUAUUCGUGCAAACAGCAAAAUCUGACAUCCAGCAACAGGUAAGGGAGCCUGAAAGAGAGAUGAAAUGAAGUAUUCAAACUAAUGAAGCAGACAGUCUGCAUCGAGGUAUAUAUUUUGUCAGUAGUUCCAUCGAAAAUACCAUGUAAAAAUGUUAUCCUUCUACCUACUGAUUUAGCAAGCUUGAACACUAUCAAUGUGCUGUAAUGUCAAUCCCUCCGGUAUACAUGUAAUGCCAUGAUUUUCUUAUCCACACACCUACUGCUGUAAAAAGCCAGUACACUACCAAUGAACCCUGACAUAAAGAUAUAAUCUUUUUUUAGUCACUACCUCUGAAACCUCUCAUUCUGUCCAUAUGCUCCCAAAAUCCAUUGCUUCAGUUGCUUUACAUCCAUUUGUCCCUUUUUUAAAUAAAUCAUUUAUAUUCCUUAUUAAAGAAUCAUCAAGAACAGUGAUUAUGUGGAUUGGUUGUAACAGAUUUUGUUCACUCAUUUUAUCCUAUGCUACAGGCUGAAUGUCUACAGAAAGAGGAAUUACACUGACUGUUCCAGUUCCUAGAGUGCUUUGUUAGAGCCAAGGAGAAGGAUCCCUUAGAGAGGGAGAAAAGAGGCAUGUGACAUGGCUCCGCAAAGAGACAUAAUUGACAUGUAAUACGCCAAGGAAAGCAUCGAAAUAAAGAGAUGACACAGAAACAUUGUAUUUAAUUAGGCCAUCUAUUGAGGAAUAUACAUACAUGUUUCCAGUACUGAAACUCACUUUGUCGAUUUUGUAAUGUAUCAAAAUUGAUGUUAGCGAACAUGGUACUUUGCUACAGGAUCUCAUUGCACCUAA
Molecule: long non-coding RNA, 1544 nt
Organism: Lolium rigidum
Lineage: Eukaryota; Viridiplantae; Streptophyta; Magnoliopsida; Poales; Poaceae
Exons: 2
Source: RefSeq, a predicted model, not a curated record